This is a non-coding RNA of Pangasianodon gigas (Mekong giant catfish), 82 nucleotides long. Lineage: Eukaryota; Metazoa; Chordata; Actinopteri; Siluriformes; Pangasiidae. The record is from the annotation of a GenBank genome assembly.
UCUGUCUAACAAGCCCACUUACAUCUGGUACAAGAACGGACAGCGUGUUACUAACCGGGACAGAAAUGAACUGUAUGUCAGU